GUUGCUUGUAGCUCAGUGGAUAGAGCACCCCUUUGACGAAGGGGCGGUCGCGGGUUCGAGUCCCGUCAGGCCCA
RNAcentral lists this transfer RNA (74 nucleotides) under Streptomyces sp. SID2999. RNAcentral's name for it is "tRNA-Val". It matches the Rfam family "tRNA". Rfam says of the family: Transfer RNA (tRNA) molecules are approximately 80 nucleotides in length. Their secondary structure includes four short double-helical elements and three loops (D, anti-codon, and T loops). Further hydrogen bonds mediate the characteristic L-shaped molecular structure. tRNAs have two regions of fundamental functional importance: the anti-codon, which is responsible for specific mRNA codon recognition, and the 3' end, to which the tRNAs corresponding amino acid is attached (by aminoacyl-tRNA synthetases). tRNAs cope with the degeneracy of the genetic code in two manners: having more than one tRNA (with a specific anti-codon) for a particular amino acid; and 'wobble' base-pairing, i.e. permitting non-standard base-pairing at the 3rd anti-codon position. The record is from RNAcentral. Lineage: Bacteria; Bacillati; Actinomycetota; Actinomycetes; Kitasatosporales; Streptomycetaceae.